Non-coding RNA from Carassius auratus (goldfish), 403 nucleotides. NCBI's taxonomy places the organism in Eukaryota, Metazoa, Chordata, Actinopteri, Cypriniformes, Cyprinidae. The record is from the annotation of a RefSeq genome assembly.
CUUUGAGUAACAGACUCACGCGUUCAGGACUGAAUCAUUCUGCUUGGAUAUACUAUUCUCUCAAACAAUGAAACUAUGGUUGGAAAUGUUGGUUUUUGCAUUGGUUAUUGCUGAAUGUAGAGCAGAGGAUACAGUUGAUCAGCCAGAUAAACAUGUAACUGAAGCUGAAGGAGGAUCAGUCACGUUACAAUGCAAAUAUACUGCAACUACAACAACACCAGAACUCUUCUGGUACAUCCAGAGAGCAAAUGAUGUUCCUAAAUACAUGCUGAGGAAAAACAAAUACGGAGGUGAUCAGGGCACUGAGUUCCAGGAGAGAUUUCACUCAAAGCUUUCAUCAGAUUCAGUUCCUCUGACGAUCAAGAAUCUGCGUGUGUCUGACUCUGCUGUGUACUACUGUGCU